Molecule: ribosomal RNA, 518 nt
Filed under: uncultured bacterium
Lineage: Bacteria
Description: bacterial SSU rRNA
Rfam family: Bacterial small subunit ribosomal RNA
Source: RNAcentral
AGGGUUCGAUUCUGGCUCAGGAUGAACGCUAGCGACAGGCUAACACAUGCAAGUCGAGGGGCGGCAUAAAAGUAGCAAUACUUGGUGGCGACCGGCGCACGGGUGAGUAACGCGUAUGCAACCUACCUAUCAGAGGGGAAUAACCCGGCGAAAGUCGGACUAAUACCGCAUAAAACAGGGACACCGCAUGGUGAUAUUUGUUAAAGAAAUUCGCUGAUAGAUGGGCAUGCGUUCCAUUAGGUAGUUGGUGAGGUAACGGCUCACCAAGCCGACGAUGGAUAGGGGAACUGAGAGGUUGGUCCCCCACACUGGUACUGAGACACGGACCAGACUCCUACGGGAGGCAGCAGUGAGGAAUAUUGGUCAAUGGGCGAGAGCCUGAACCAGCCAAGUCGCGUGAAGGAAAAGAAGGAUCUAUGGUUCGUAAACUUCUUUUGCAGGGGAAUAAAGUGCAGGACGUGUCCUGUUUUGUAUGUACCCUGAGAAUAAGGAUCGGCUAACUCCGUGCCAGCAGCAGC